GAUGAACGCUGGCGGCGUGCCUAGUACAUGCAAGUCGAGCGAACAGACGAGGAGCUUGCUCCUCUGACGUUAGCGGAGGACGGGUGAGUAACACGUGGAUAACCUACCUAUAAGACUGGGAUAACUUCGGGAAACCGGAGCUAAUACCGGAUAAUAUAUUGAACCGCAUGGUUCAAUAGUGAAAGACGGUUUUGCUGUCACUUAUAGAUGGAUCCGCGCCGCAUUAGCUAGUUGGUAAGGUAACGGCUUACCAAGGCAACGAUGCGUAGCCGACCUGAGAGGGUGAUCGGCCACCCUGGAACUGAGACACGGUCCAGACUCCUACGGGAGGCAGCAGUAGGGAAUCUUCCGCAAUGGGCGAAAGCCUGACGGAGCAACGCCGCGUGAGUGAUGAAGGUCUUCGGAUCGUAAAACUCUGUUAUUAGGGAAGAACAAAUGUGUAAGUAACUAUGCACGUCUUGACGGUACCUAAUCAGAAAGCCACGGCUAACUACGUG
RNAcentral lists this ribosomal RNA (497 nucleotides) under uncultured bacterium. RNAcentral's name for it is "partial 16S ribosomal RNA". It matches the Rfam family "Bacterial small subunit ribosomal RNA", at positions 28 to 507 of the family's 1533-position model. The record is from RNAcentral.